This 1857-nucleotide long non-coding RNA is filed under the name Canis lupus familiaris (dog). RNAcentral's name for it is "lncRNA (ENSCAFG00000056539.1, ENSCAFG00805017696.1, ENSCAFG00845030151.1)". The record is from RNAcentral. Lineage: Eukaryota; Metazoa; Chordata; Mammalia; Carnivora; Canidae.
AGUUCUUCAUAGAUCUUGGAUACUAGCCCUUUAUCUGAAAGUUCAUUUGCAAAUAUCUUCUCCCAUUCUGUAGGUUGUCUUUUAGUUUUGUGGACUGUUUCUUUUGCUGUGCAAAAGCUUUUUUCUUGAUUAAGUCCCAAUAAUUCAUUUUUGCUUUUGUUUCUCUUGCCUUCAUGGAUGUAUCUUGCAAGAAGUUGCUGUGGCCAAGUUCAAAAAGGGUGUUGCCUGUGUUCUCCCCUAGGAUUUUGGUGGAAUCUUGUCUCACAUUUAGAUCUUUCAUCCAUUUUGAGUAGACCUUUGUGUACAGUGUAAGAGAAUGGUCUAGUUUCAUUCUUCUGCAUGUGGAUGUCCAAUUUUCCCAGCACCAUUUAUUGAAGAGACUGUCUUUUUUCCAGUGGAUAGUCUUUCCUCCUUUAUUGAAUAUUAGUUGAUCAUAAAGCUGAGGGUCCACUUCUGGAUUCUCUAUUCUGUUCCAUUGAUAUAUGUGUCUGUUUUUGUGCCAGUACCACACUGUCUUGAUGACCAUAGCUUUGUAGUACAACCUGAAAUCUGGCAUUGUGAUGGUUUUCUUUUUUAAUAUUCCCCUGGCUAUUCGGGGUCCUUUCUGAUUCCACACAAAUCUUAAGAUGAUUUGUUCUAACUUUCUGAAGAAAGUCCAUGGUAUUUUGAUAGGGAUUGCAUUAAAUGGGCACACUGACUCUUGACCACAUUGUUCUCUGGAUACAGCUCCUCGACUCCCCCGUCCUUGAGUCAAUAGAGUAUUCUUUUACCUUUUGAAGUAAACAUUUUUUUCUCUACUUCCCAAAGUUAAUCAUUCCUAUAGUCAAUCUGUUAGCUCUCUUAGUAAAAACUGGAGGAGACAGCCUUGGGGUCAGAGUCUGAGUCCGGUUUGAGUUGGAGUCUGAGUCUCAGUCCCCCUGUUCCCCACAUUAAAAUUCAUCGAGACUCUGAGUCUUUCUUCAUAUUGUUGCCUCUGACUAUCCUGGAUCUGUGUGAGAUAUUUCCUAUAAGAGUAAAAACACAAGACACACUAGCAAUUGUAUAAUCUUAAUUCAUAAUCUGUGGCAUUGAGAACAAAGCCACUUGCCUGAUGAAAAACUAGACAAAAAUGACUAUAGUAGUUUUGUUCCUGGAACAUCUCACAAUACCAUUUUAAAUUCAUUACUUCAUUUCAUUUACUGAUAAACAAUACUGUACUGCAGAAUUUUCCUUUAGAGAAUCCAUUGGCCAAUUAGACAGAUUUGUCUUUUAAACCCAGAGACCCUUUGAAUUGUAUUAAGUGUUAGGUGGAAAAAUGCAAAAGUUUUUAAAAGUGACUGGGAUUACAAUUCCAGACCGCAAUUCUUAUCAUCCAAUCAGAUUUAAACUCUCUAUAAUUAUAGCUAAUAGUGUACUGACCUCGAGGGUCAGGAAGAAAGCAGAGAUAAUAGGAGUGAAGAAAAGGGAUAAAAAUACCAUUAAUACCAAAACCAAAACAACGAACAAAAAAUUGAAAACAGAAAGCCAGAUCAAGGCUUAAAUCCCACUAAAGGCCUGGAUAUUCUUAUCUGUUACUCUGACUCUGUCAUGUGUUGCUUAUAUGCUUCUGUGGAAAAGGGAAUUUUAAGAAUUGGUUUUUUGAAAGGCAAAAUAAAAUUAUAGAAUGUUAAAAUUUGAAGAACAUUUAGGAGUCAAAUAGGUAAUGCAUCUCACUUAUAAAUGAAGAAAGACAAGUCCAGAGAGUGAAAGUGACUUGUUAAAUGCUGCUCAGUAAUUUUUUAGAAUUAGCAGGUUUCCGACUUUCACGUUAUAGCUCUUUAGAAAGAAAGCCUGUAAUUCCCUUUCUUACAGCAUGACAUCGAAAAAAAAAAAAAAAAA